GGCUGUUGAAGUUUCUGAAGUCAGACAUGCUACCGAAUGACAACACAAGCGCCGCGCGGGACUUUUUAAAACAACGACUCACUGGAUGGAUUUCGCUGCAGCGAUCACUCAACUGUCGGUAAGAUUUCAGUAUAAAUGCAUGAAUAUACAUAACGGUUACUUUACUAGUUGACUUUCAGUCGGAGGGCGAACAUUUAACCACCUCGGCCUACGACCCCCACCAACUAGCGGUUUUGGCUAAUGUUCUUUAGCUUCAAGGCAAGCUAACAGGCCGCCCUUCGUAAGUUUGUUUCAGAUGUUGUGUGUGUACGCUAGUGGUCAUAAUGUACAGCACUAAGCUAUGGGCAGACAAGGCAACUAUUAUUCCUGCGUAAUUACCAUUCUUGUGACUACUUCACUGCAUAUGUUAAGCAGGAAACUGCCUUUGGUUCCCAAAUAUGAACAUCUGUUGCCCUUCAUACCCGACUACAGGGUUCACUGCCUGGGAAAUCUGUGCUAGUUUAUUACAGUAUUUCCAACCUGGUAGCUAGCUAGCCAGCCUGGUCAGAAUGGACAAAGGCAGCACAUCUCAGAAUCUUGUUACGACAAUACGAGCGAGGCAAAUGUGAAUGGAGUACAUUGUUAUGUGUAAGGUAAGACGUUAACAUGACAAGGGUGAGAUGACUGAUACUAAGGGCUAGCCAGACUAGAAUAAAAGUUAACUAGGCCUACUACGAAAAGUUAAUUCAUAAACGUUUUGACGGUCUUUCGAAUGGUUAUCGGAUUGUGUGCUUGCUUGCUUAAAUAUCAUAAAGUUCGCCACAAAGUGAUCACGAAAUGAUCUCCGUAUUAAUAACAGUUUCGUGGUUUGUUACUCGUUUGAAUAAACGUAUAGUUUUGACAUCCCUUUCAAAUGACACGCAGAUGUUUUGAAUGUUUGUUGUACCACGAGCUAUCACGAAAUGAUGCUGUAUUUACCCUUAAGCAAAUUACCGGUAAGCACUGGGCCAAAAGGUGUUUAUACAGUAGUUUCUUCCUGUGCUGUGUUGUGGACGUCUGUUUCAUCAUUUGAGCUAUCAGUUGUGUUUCUUUGAGGCAAAGAUGUAUAGAAUAGCACUGAAAGUCGGAGGUGUCAUACUUGUUAAACCUGGUGUUAAACGUAAUUUCAAUUCUUGACCAGUGCAUGUAAAGAAAUUGAAAAUAAAACCGACUUGACUUGACUUGUCAUUGGGUCUGAUUUUAAAUGUGCCAUAUAGUUCAAUGUGGGAGCAGGUUCACACACUAAAUAAGACACUAAGGUCAAGCACAAGCAGAUUUUUUUUUUUUUAAACAAUUCUCAGAGCAGAUUAUAGCAGACGUUUCAGGUUGCUGCCAUCAGAGAGUAGUGACUUGACCUUAGUGUCUUUAGUGUGCUCCCACAUUGAAGUCUACUUUUUGGGUCCAUGCACCUACUUAUUUCUAAACAUCUAGAGCGCAACAAUACCCCUGCCUCCUGAUGUGCCAUACAACCUGUAUCUCUCCAAGUGUGUGUGUGUGUGUGUGAGAGAGAAUGUGUGCACGCAGAUAUAAGAAGUUGGGGUUGAUGAUCCACAUGAUGGUGAUGGACCAGGACAGCUCUGGACCUCCUGACUGGCAGCUCCAUCCUCAACCUCUCUUCCUGCCCUUCACACAUGUGCAGGCAGACAGUUUUCUGAAAGAUGGUUGAUGUCAGUACCAACAUGUUGUGAUGGAGGCUUCCACCUGAGCUGAACACAGAAACUUGCACACAGUGAUGGAAGCAGUCGUUCCUGUUCAGCAUCGAUAUGCCAGUAAUGGGUUUGAUAAGCCACAGCAUGGUGAUGGGCAAUCAGCAUCAGGACCAGGGCAGCUCACAAGGAGAACCUCCUGCCCUGCCUCGUCAUCCUCAACCUCCCAUCUCCCUGCUCUUCACACAUGUGCAGGCACGGAGCCAGUUUUCAGAGGGAGGGCUGAUGACACCAGCAACUUUGGUUCUGAACCUGAUCAACCCAGCACCAACCACUGUGCCGCUCCUCCUCUGCCAACUGCACCACAUGGCUCCACCAUCUCAAAAAGGCACAGACACUACUCCACUUCCUGCGAAGGAUGAGAGAAGAGCCGACCGCCCCACAUCGGCACUCACCACCUUCUACAGGGGUGUCAUUGAGCGCAUCCUGACCAGCAGCCUCUCUGUCUGGCAUGGCAGCCGUCAAGCUGAAGACUAGAAGGCAGUACAGAGAGUGUGGUGAGCUCGGCAGAAAAGCUCAUAAGAUCACCCCUACCAGCCAUUCAGGAUCUGUACACUUCACACUGUUCCAAGAGGGCAAUGAACAUCAUAAAGACACAACUCAUCCAGCAUACAGACUGUUCUCCCUACUACCAUCAGGGAAGCGCUAGCCCGGCAUGCGGUGCCGCACAAGCACACUGGGAAACGGCUUCUUUCCACAAGCCAUCAGUCUCCUCAACGUUCUGAAGAAAACCACAUGAAUAUUCCAAGGACACUGGAGGAUAUUCCAUGAACACUUCUUUCACCAUGCCACUUACACUUUACUCAUUGCACCUUAUAUUCAGCAUCUUCACAUCACCUGUAUGAUCUCCUCCUGCCAUGUGUGUGUGUGUGUGUCCACUGUGUUUGUGUAUUUAUUGUCCAUCAGUAUGUUACUCUUCUUAUUGCACACUGUUUGUGUCUCUGUGUGACUGUAUUUAUUGAAUGUAUCAGUCUGUAUUUCAUGUCAAUGCAUUAUUUUUAGUUAUUAGUUAAACUGCACAUUGGAGACUGGUCAAACACAAUUUCAAACUUUGUGUUAACCCUCCAUAGAUUUUUGUCAAAAAAUGGAGUCUAAUCUACUGUACUAUUCAGGCUAUCAACAGACCACACAGUUGAGUGCUGUUUUAUGCACUCUGAAUAUGAGGAGAAGGAGGUGACCGUUCACACUUCAUAGUGUAAAAGUAAACAGAAAUACAUUUUCACAUUUCA
This is a long non-coding RNA of Engraulis encrasicolus (European anchovy), 2953 nucleotides long. RefSeq lists it as uncharacterized. The transcript has 4 exons. The record is from RefSeq and is a predicted model, not a curated record. NCBI's taxonomy places the organism in Eukaryota, Metazoa, Chordata, Actinopteri, Clupeiformes, Engraulidae.